GAGACAGCAGUCGCCACGGUAAUACAGAGGGUGCGAGCGUUAAUCGGAUUUACUGGGCGUAAAGCGUGCGUAGGCGGCUUUUUAAGUCGGAUGUGAAAUCCCUGAGCUUAACUUAGGAAUUGCAUUCGAUACUGGGAAGCUAGAGUAUGGGAGAGGAUGGUAGAAUUCCAGGUGUAGCGGUGAAAUGCGUAGAGAUCUGGAGGAAUACCGAUGGCGAAGGCAGCCAUCUGGCCUAAUACUGACGCUGAGGUACGAAAGCAUGGGGAGCAAACAGGAUUAGAUACCCCCGUAGUCCCUGUCUCUUAUCC
This 308-nucleotide ribosomal RNA is filed under the name uncultured bacterium. RNAcentral's name for it is "partial 16S ribosomal RNA". It matches the Rfam family "Bacterial small subunit ribosomal RNA", at positions 505 to 809 of the family's 1533-position model. The record is from RNAcentral.